UGGGGAAUAUUGCACAAUGGGCGCAAGCCUGAUGCAGCCAUGCCGCGUGUGUGAAGAAGGCCUUCGGGUUGUAAAGCACUUUCAGCGAGGAGGAAGGUGGUGAGCUUAAUACGCUCAUCAAUUGACGUUACUCGCAGAAGAAGCACCGGCUAACUCCGUGCCAGCAGCCGCGGUAAUACGGAGGGUGCAAGCGUUAAUCGGAAUUACUGGGCGUAAAGCGCACGCAGGCGGUUUGUUAAGUCAGAUGUGAAAUCCCCGGGCUCAACCUGGGAACUGCAUUUGAAACUGGCAAGCUAGAGUCUCGUAGAGGGGGGUAGAAUUCCAGGUGUAGCGGUGAAAUGCGUAGAGAUCUGGAGGAAUACCGGUGGCGAAGGCGGCCCCCCUGGANGAAGACUGACGCUCAGGUGCGAAAGGCGUGGGGAGCAAACAGAUUAGAUACCCUGGUAGUCCACGCUGUAAAACGAUGUCGAUUUUGGAGGUUGUGCCCCUUGAGGCGUGGNUUCCGGAGCUAACGNGUUAAAUCGACCG
This 528-nucleotide ribosomal RNA is filed under the name uncultured bacterium. Its description in RNAcentral is "partial 16S ribosomal RNA". It matches the Rfam family "Bacterial small subunit ribosomal RNA", at positions 355 to 871 of the family's 1533-position model. The record is from RNAcentral.